Long non-coding RNA from Engraulis encrasicolus (European anchovy), 759 nucleotides. RefSeq lists it as uncharacterized. The record is from RefSeq and is a predicted model, not a curated record. Lineage: Eukaryota; Metazoa; Chordata; Actinopteri; Clupeiformes; Engraulidae. The transcript is spliced from 8 exons.
CUGUGUCCUGCAAUCCUGUGUGCUGUGCUACAGACGCGUGUGGAGGUCAACCCAAAAUGGGCACAGUCUCACCACAGAAGAGUGAAAGAGGAUCCUGGCAGGGAGACGGUAGUGUCCUGCAGAAUGUUGAUGGGCCAAUCUUACAAGAGACCACAGAAAACUGAUAUAGUGAACUAUAGAAACAACAGUGCCUGCUGCAGUAUAACGAGGACGCCCUGAGCAGAGAGCUCCAAUAGACCCAGGUCCAUUGUCUUGGCAGGGUGAAAUGGCACUGAUAUGGUGUCCUGCAGGAUGCUGUGUCCUGCAAUCCUGUGUGCUGUGCUACAGACGCGUGUGGAGGUCAACCCAAAAUGGGCACAGUCUCACCACAGAAGAGUGAAAGAGGAUCCUGGCAGGGAGACGGUAGUGUCCUGCAGAAUGUUGAUGGGCCAAUCUUACAAGAGACCACAGAAAACUGAUAUAGUGAACUAUAGAAACAACAGUGCCUGCUGCAGUAUAACGAGGACACCCUGAGCAGAGAGCUCCAAUAGACCCAGGUCCAGUGUCUUGGCAGGGUGAAAUGGCACUGAUAUGGUGUCCUGCAGGAUGCUGUGUCCUGCAAUCCUGUGUGCUGUGCUACAGACGUGUGUGGAGGUCAACCCAAAAUGGGCACAGUCUCACCACAGAAGAGUGAAAGAGGCUCCCAGAAGUGAGACUGAGUGCCUGUUGCAGUAUGACGAGGACACAGUGACCAGAGACCUUCAGUAGACCCUGCUGGCA